CCAUCUGACUGCAACUGCCUGAGGAACCCCAAACCACAACCAACUGAGCUGAGUCAACUCCUAGAAUCAUCAGCAAGACAGAUUUUUUUUUUUCAAUUUUAUGGCACUAUUUUGGGGUGGAUUGAUCUAGAAUCCUAUCCCCAAUCUUGGCAGCCCAGGGUCCAUCUCUCUGUUUUUUUGGUUCAUGCUGGGGUCUGCAGAUCUCCAGCUGGGGUAAAGCAUAGCCACAAGUGACCCACUCAGCCCAGACAGAGAGAAAGUAGAGAAAGGGCUGCAUGCAGAGACCUCAGCUUCUGGAGAGGCCUCUGAUCCGCUGUGGGCUCCUGGUACUCCUGUUCCCCACCGAGCCCAUGCUGUCAGCUCUGAGCUGGGCUCCAUAUUUGAUCUUGUUCCAGGGGAAAGCAGACAUGUGGGCCAAAACCUUCCAUCCUGCUCCAUGAGGAGGCUCUACCAUCCAGUUGUACAUAAUGUUCUAGAUAGAAUUCAUCCUUCGAUUUUAGAGAACACGAACUCAUGUUUUGGAUAUCUAGUAGGUUUGGGAGUUACAUCUCUUUCCCUUAUAUCAUUUUGGAGGUCUUCCACCGAGAGUACUGGUCAGAGACUCAAAGCUAUAUGGCUACCAAGAUGACAAUGCCUGGCGCCUAUCAAGGGCCCUUAGAUAGACCCUCUGGAGAGUAACUCUGACUGCUGAUCACAACUACAACCCUCUUCAGCUGGAAGUAGCCAGAAUGGUCUUUGCCCUUUACCCCCUCACAGCAGUUAGGGGUAUUUCUUCAGAGGGGGAAAUAUUGCAGAUAGGUAAGUUAAUUAGAUAUCUUGUGUGCAGUUAGACAGGACCAGCCCCCCAGGAGCCAAUACAGCAAGGAACCCACAUGGAGAACAAUUGAGGCACAUUCACUGGUUAGCAUUAUAAAAAGAAGAGGCACUACUUCCCCUAGAGAUAGACAGCAGUGAUUGAUAUUCUAAAUGGGAAAUUCCUUGUAUGGAUUUGUCAUCCCAUUUGAUCCCCAUUUAAUCAAUAUUACCUGGGUGACUGUACUUGUAAUCUUAUUGGUUGGUCAUGGUUUUGUCCCACCUCAUGCCCACCUGUAAACUUUCAUUGGGUGUUAUAGCUUUGUCCCACUUUGUACCCGGCUCACAACAUGGCUGUGCUGUAUAAAAUAUCUUUGAAAAGUGGGGUGAGUGGGCAACCCACUUUCUGGUCCCCCUUCUGUCUCUCUCAGGUAGAAGCUUUCUUUCUCCCAAUAAAGUUUUCC
RNAcentral lists this long non-coding RNA (1256 nucleotides) under Heterocephalus glaber (naked mole-rat). Its description in RNAcentral is "lncRNA (ENSHGLG00000046372.1)". Lineage: Eukaryota; Metazoa; Chordata; Mammalia; Rodentia; Bathyergidae. The record is from RNAcentral.